CCCGCACAAGCGGUGGAGCACGUGGUUUAAUUCGAUGCAAACCGAAGAACCUUACCUGGGUUUUGACAUGUGCGUGUUACUGAGGUGAAAGCCGAGGGGCCAUAUCUUCGGAUGUGGAGCGUACACAGGUGCUGCAUGGCUGUCGUCAGCUCGUGUCGUGAGAUGUUGGGUUAAGUCCCGCAACGAGCGCAACCCUUGUCAUUAGUUGCCAUCAUUUGGUUGGGCACUCUAAUGAGACUGCCGGUGACAAACCGGAGGAAGGUGGGGAUGACGUCAAGUCCUCAUGGCCCUUAUGGGUAGGGCUUCACACGUCAUACAAUGGUCGGUACAGAGGGUUGCCAACCCGCGAGGGGGAGCUAAUCCCACAAAGCCGAUCGUAGUCCGGAUCGCAGUCUGCAACUCGACUGCGUGAAGUCGGAAUCGCUAGUAAUCGUGGAUCAGCAUGUCACGGUGAAUACGUUCCCGGGUCUU
Molecule: ribosomal RNA, 471 nt
Filed under: uncultured Rhodocyclaceae bacterium
Lineage: Bacteria; Pseudomonadati; Pseudomonadota; Betaproteobacteria; Rhodocyclales; Rhodocyclaceae
Description: bacterial SSU rRNA
Rfam family: Bacterial small subunit ribosomal RNA
Source: RNAcentral